RNAcentral lists this long non-coding RNA (606 nucleotides) under Mytilus galloprovincialis (Mediterranean mussel). The record is from RNAcentral. Lineage: Eukaryota; Metazoa; Mollusca; Bivalvia; Mytilida; Mytilidae.
AGGACAUGUCGCAACUAACAAUUUAUGAAAAAUUAUUUGUCGAUAUGUCAUACGGUAAUUGAAAAUAAGUGAAAAUAAGCCAAAAUCAAAAUUUAAAAUAUGACCUUGACCUUUGACCUUUGACUUAUUUUCAUUUUUUUGGACCAAGGACCUCAAAUCCGAAAACCCUAGGCCUCUAUCGCUUAUGGUUUACCAGUUAGAAAUGCAAAUCACUUAUACCAAAUACAUAAGGGGGAAUAACUCUCAUAUGGAGUCUCCAUAUAGCUUCGGUAUAAACAGCCAACCUAAUCCUGAAGAUGUAACGAGCAAUUUAGUAAAAUAAAUUUGUCAUAAUGUUUUGGUUGCGGGAAGGUGGCCACAAGAAAAACAGUGUUUGGGGAGACAACUCUUACAACGUAAAGUAUUUGGUUACGCGGUUGUCAGUUUUUGAAGCGUAUAAACUAUGCGAUAUCAUCUUCCAAAAAUCUAAGCGACAACUUAUGAAACAACCAUACUACGCAAGAAAAAAAUUUGGCGGAAGAAAAAAAAAUAUAAUCAGAACAAAACCUAUUGGUCUUUCCACGGAAAGGUGGAAAGACCUAAUAAUAAUCAGAACAAAAUCAAUAC